RNAcentral lists this long non-coding RNA (496 nucleotides) under Nicotiana tabacum (common tobacco). RNAcentral describes it as "long non-coding RNA (NTAB_LNC012239)". The record is from RNAcentral. Lineage: Eukaryota; Viridiplantae; Streptophyta; Magnoliopsida; Solanales; Solanaceae.
GGCACCCACCUGGAGAACAAGGGAAUACAGUUCAAGUUUUGGUAAUCAGGAGCUCACCUGGAGAACAAGGGAAUACAGUUCAAGUUUUGGCAAUCAGGCGCCCACCUGGAGAACAAGGGAAUACAGUUCAAGUUUUUGGCAAUCAGGCACCCACCUGGAGAAUAAGGGAAUACAGUUUAAGUUUUUGGCAAUCUGGCACCCACCUAGAGAACAAGGGAAUACAGUUCAAGUUUUGGCAAUCAGGCGCCCACCUGGAGAACAAUGGAGUACAUUUCAAGUUUUUGGCAAUCAGGAGAACAAGGGAAUACAAUUCAAAUUUUGGCAAUCAGGCGCCCACCUGGAGAACAAGGGAAUACUGUUCAAGUUUUGGCAAUCAUGCGCCCACCUAGAGAACACGGGAAGACAGUUCAAGUUUUUGGCAAUCAGACGCCCACCUGGAGAACAAGGGAACCUAGUUCGAUUUUUGGCAAUCAGGCGCCCACCUGAAGAACAAGGG